This is a long non-coding RNA of Athalia rosae (coleseed sawfly), 3286 nucleotides long. RefSeq lists it as uncharacterized. The record is from RefSeq and is a predicted model, not a curated record. The transcript has 3 exons. Lineage: Eukaryota; Metazoa; Arthropoda; Insecta; Hymenoptera; Athaliidae.
AAAAUUCUUAUGCAAUUGGAGAAUAUUUGAUUGAGGCAAAAGAAAAAUUGGGUCCUUGAAGUGAGAUGAGGUAAUCGGACCUCGAGAUAUUAUAGCUUUUUUAUUUUAUGGAAAGUACGAUGAUAAAUUUCUUUGAGCCAGGAGUAAAAGUGCUAGUUAAAUAAAUCGAGACCUGAUAAUUAUGAUGUGACCGGGUGAAUUGAAUUGGAUGAAAAAAAUUAUACCCACUUAUAUAAUAUCUUCCUCUUACGGUUGCAAAAUGAAAACAAAAUCAAUUACUAUCCUAUACGUAGAGUAUGCAUACCCAUGAUAUGUAUGUAUAUUAUUUAUAUCGUUAGUCAUAAUAUAUGGUCAUUCAUAUAAGUAUACGUAUAUGAUAGAAAGAAAUAUAAAUAUUGUAUAUAUUUAUGCCUAUGCAUAUAUAUAUUCAUGAACUCAUUUGUGUAUAACUAUUUCAUAUAAUAAUAUGGAAAAUCUCAUCGAAUAUACAAUAUAUUAUAUAUACACACACACACACGGUAUUCUACUAAUGUAUGAAACUUCAUCUUGAAAAUAUUUUUCAAUCAGUGGUGCUUUCGUUCGAUCAAUGUAUGAUCAUUAAACUGUAAUGAGGGUGAGAGACGAACAAUAAAUAAUCAUAUUCUAUGUAUGCACUAUCCGACUUUCCCUGUAUUAAAAAUAAUAGUGCAGUGUUAAAUUAUCAUAGCGAAAUUUUGCACGAAAAUAUCAAGAAUUUAUCCACUCGAGAAAGCUACCUUAAAAAAUUUACGCAGAUACGAAGUGUAAUAAAAGUAGCGCGUUUGUAGAUGAAGGCUCUAUUGUUAUAUAAUUUGUCAUCAAUAUAAAGGCUGUGGUUCUUGGUCAUCAUAAUAACCCUCAUGCUUUUGCUGUAAUUAGGAGCUGAGUCGUGCUAGCAGAAAAAGUUUGACAAUGACAUCUGAUAAGGCAACGAAGAGUGCUGUCGUUACAGCCUAUGUAAAGAAACUUGCUUGGGAAAAUCUCACGAAGGGCGCUAUUGUUAAUCAUCGCACAUCACAUGGAAUAACUCCUCUUCUUGCGGCGGUAGAACAUGGUGACAUUGACUUGAUCAUACUCAUCUGCACUCACAAUCAGCCUAAAAGCAUAGAUAUAUCUAUGCUAAAAGCCCUAUCAACCUGCAGGAAAAGACUAUACACAUAUCUGAAAUUCUCCAUCUUUUCCAUAACGUUAAAGUUGAUCAUUGGUUUUUCUUUUUUAUUAAUGACAAUAAUUGUCGUUUCAUAUAGGGUCAACCCCCUUGCAUUUGUGGGUUCUGUACGGCCACAGAGUAAUUAUGCUCGGGCUACUACGUCGAGGAGCAUUAGUAAAUUGUUCGGAUACCCUAGGCCGUUAUCCACUGCAUUUUGCAGCAACUCAAAAGGACGUCGGAAGUGCGAGAAUGCUAAUAAGAUUUGGUGAUCGCAUCAAUGUCUACGACGCUUUUUCCGACAGCCCUCUUUCUAUCAGCGUUUUACGUAGGCCUUGCGUAGCAAUGGCGAGGCUCUUUUUAGCUAACCGAGCGUCCUCUGGUCCGCCGCCCGAUUGGUCUUGGUAUGGGCCUUCUUCUAGAAGCGGUUCUGAGUGCGCGUCGCACUUCAAACUUCGAAGCUAUCAAGGUUCUAAUUUGGGCAGGAGAGGGUUGUAAAUAUCGUAGAUCCCAUGGGAUUGAAAACGCCUCUACAUUUAGUCGCGAUUAACGGACAUCUGGAAUUAGCUGAAAGGAGACCCCGCCAAGUGCCACCCACCGAUUUUGAUAAAACUUCGCAGGAUGAAAGAGUAACAAAAAUAAACGGAUACGUGUUUUGGCUUAUCCGUAGACGCUCAACCGUUUUCGAUUUCGAGAAAAUUACGGUUGAAACAUGGAAAAUUUUGACGCCGCUUCAUGAGUCCGCCCGCGCGCUAUCGCCUCAAGCGUGUCGGCGGUGCAGCGGCUAACGCGACAGCUUCGAGAUGUGACGCUCCGCGCUUGAGUCCUGAUCAAAAUUUUUUUUUUUUUUUUUCUCAAAUUCUUCGUCAAAGUAUGCUGCGCGAACGUUCCUUAUUUUAUUGAUAAAUACAAGGACGCUGUAUUUAAAUUACAAUUCAUCAUUUCGAAGCAACUGUCCGUUAUUCUGAAUUAUGCUACGGGGUAGGUUUUCAGGUAGGCUCGCUAGCCGUAGCCAACAGGCCAUUUUUUUUUAGAAAAUAAUACGAAAUAUUUUGGACUGGUAAAAAACUAUAUUCGACGUCUCCAAAACUGCCCCGUCCUGAUUGCUCAGCGGAGAGAAAUCACAAGCAGACGCGACGCAAUAAAAAUACACUCCCUGGUCCACAAUCAAUUGCGGGCACCAGCAUUUGAAAAAAUGAUUCGGUACGCAUGAUUCGCCGCAAAAUUAUCGGCGGAUCGCGAGGUUUUCAAUAACGUCAACGACAUUGCGUUUCCGGACGACGUUCACACCCAGAACUGUGAUUGCGGCCAAAGUGCCUUCGCGCGUUGCUCCUGGUGCAGAGAAUAUUUAUGUUUUGAAUGUUGCUAUGAUAGGUACCAUCCCGACGAAUGCGCUACAUAUCGUUGAAUUAAUCGGGAGAUAAUGUAAUAAUUAACAUAAAAAUUAAGCCACUCGCUGCUAUCCAUUUGUUAUUUCCAAAUAUUUUUGAACCCAAUACCCUGUAGCAUAAUUGUAAUGAUUGUAAUUUAAAUACAGCGUCCUUGUAUUUAUCAAUAAAAUAAGGAACGUUCGCGCAGCAUACUUUGACGAAGAAUUUGAGAAAAAAAAAAAAAAAAAUUUUGAUCAGGACUCAAGCGCGGAGCGUCACAUCUCGAAGCUGUCGCGUUAGCCGCUGCACCGCCGACACGCUUGAGGCGAUAGCGCGCGGGCGGACUCAUGAAGCGGCGUCAAAAUUUUCCAUGUUUCAACCGUAAUUUUCUCGAAAACGGUUGAGUGUCUACGGAUAAGCCAAAACACGUAUCCGUUUAUUUUUGUUACUCUUUCAUCGUGCGAAGUUUCAUCAAAAUUGGUGGGUGGCACUUGGCGGGGUCUCCUGUGAGUGAGAAUUUUGUCAGUGAGGCGUGUUUUGGUAUCGUUACAUUUUGUUACUAUUUUUUUUUCAUAGGUAUCUAAUUAGCCAUGGUGCCGAUUUGUACGCGAAAUAUCGCGCCGGGCAAACUCCUUUGGAAGUAGCAUUUAACUGCCGUAAUUUCAGUGUCGCGUAUCUGAUCGAAGAGAGUCGCAAUAUGCAAUCAAGAAGUCGUAUCAACCAAAUCCUCGAAUCUACCGAAGGGUCUGAU